RNAcentral lists this ribosomal RNA (468 nucleotides) under uncultured bacterium. RNAcentral describes it as "partial 16S ribosomal RNA". It matches the Rfam family "Bacterial small subunit ribosomal RNA", at positions 28 to 507 of the family's 1533-position model. The record is from RNAcentral.
GACGAACGCUGGCGGCGUGCUUAACACAUGCAAGUCGAACGGAAAGGCCCUGCUUUUGUGGGGUGCUCGAGUGGCGAACGGGGGAGUAACACGUGAGUAACCUGCCCUUGACUUUGGGAUAACUUCAGGAAACUGGGGCUAAUACCGGAUAGGAGCUCCUGCUGCAUGGUGGGGGUUGGAAAGUUUCGGCGGUUGGGGAUGGACUGGCGGCUUAUCAGCUUGUUGGUGGGGUAGUGGCUUACCAAGGCUUUGACGGGUAGCCGGCCUGAGAGGGUGACCGGCCACAUUGGGACUGAGAUACGGCCCAGACUCCUACGGGAGGCAGCAGUGGGGAAUAUUGCACAAUGGGCGGAAGCCUGAUGCAGCAGCGCCGCGUGCGGGAUGACGGCCUUCGGGUUGUAAACCGCUUUCGCCUGUGACGAAGCGUGAGUGACGGUAAUGGGUAAAGAAGCACCGGCUAACUACGUG